AGCAGCCGCGGUAAUUCCAGCUCCAAUAGCGUAUAUUAAAGUUGUUGCAGUUAAAAAGCUCGUAGUUGAAUUUCGGGAUCAAUACGUCGGUCGUGCCUCCGGUACGUACUGGUGUUGUUGAUUUCUCCCUUCUGAUGAACCACGAUGUCAUUAAUUUGGUGUUGUGGGGAGUCAGGACUGUUACUUUGAAAAAUUAGAGUGUUUAAAGCAGGCAAACGCUUGAAUACAUUAGCAUGGAAUAAUGAAAUAGGACGUUCGAACCUAUUUUGUUGGUUUCUAGGAUCAACGUAAUGAUUAAUAGGGAUAGUUGGGGGCAUUAGUAUUCAAUUGUCAGAGGUGAAAUUCUUGGAUUUAUUGAAGACUAACUACUGCGAAAGCAUUUGCCAAGGAUGUUUUCAUUAAUCAAGAACGAAAGUUAGGGGAUCGAAGACGAUCAGAUACCGUCGUAGUCUUAACCAUAAACUAU
RNAcentral lists this ribosomal RNA (466 nucleotides) under uncultured Glomus. RNAcentral's name for it is "SSU rRNA". It matches the Rfam family "Eukaryotic small subunit ribosomal RNA", at positions 569 to 1040 of the family's 1831-position model. Lineage: Eukaryota; Fungi; Glomeromycota; Glomeromycetes; Glomerales; Glomeraceae. The record is from RNAcentral.